Molecule: ribosomal RNA, 465 nt
Filed under: uncultured bacterium
Lineage: Bacteria
Description: bacterial SSU rRNA
Rfam family: Bacterial small subunit ribosomal RNA
Source: RNAcentral
CCUACGGGGGGCUGCAGUGGGGAAUAUUGGACAAUGGGCGCAAGCCUGAUCCAGCCAUGCCGCGUGUGUGAAGAAGGCCUUCGGGUUGUAAAGCACUUUUGUUGGGGAAGAAAAGCCGUCGGUUAAUACCCGGUGGUGAUGACGGUACCCAAAGAAUAAGCACCGGCUAACUUCGUGCCAGCAGCCGCGGUAAUACGAAGGGUGCAAGCGUUACUCGGAAUUACUGGGCGUAAAGCGUGCGUAGGUGGUUUGUUAAGUCAGAUGUGAAAGCCCCGGGCUCAACCUGGGAAUUGCAUUUGAUACUGGCUAACUAGAGUGAGGUAGAGGAGAGUGGAAUUCCCGGUGUAGCAGUGAAAUGCGUAGAGAUCGGGAGGAACAUCAGUUGCGAAGGCGGCUCUCUGGACCAUCACUGACACUGAGGCACGAAAGCGUGGGGAGCAAACAGGAUUAGAUACCCAAGUAGUC